Molecule: non-coding RNA, 1546 nt
Organism: Lolium perenne
Lineage: Eukaryota; Viridiplantae; Streptophyta; Magnoliopsida; Poales; Poaceae
Source: RefSeq, a predicted model, not a curated record
ACCUUGUCAUGUUGCCCUCACUAAUCGCACCGGACCUUUCCCUCACCUCUCUCUCUCUCUCAGCUCCACCCAACCAUCAACCAUGGACUCUGUUCCACUCUCGCCGCCACCCAACCAAACCCCUCCCAGAUCCUACCGCAUCGUCUCGCCGGAGCAUCCGUGCCAGGCGCUCCCGCCCGCCAAAUUCCUGCCGCAGAUGCAUCCGGGGACGCCCCGCGCCCGACGAUUUUCGCCCUGUCUCAGGUUGCUGCUGCUGCUGCUGCUGCUCCCAGCGUCCGUGUCGCCCAACUGCCCCUGCUUUCUUCGACUGUCGCGGAGAGGCCUCGCCCUCGGAGAUGGCCGCGACCAGCACGAGAUGGCGGCCAACUUCCCGCCGCCGCCGGAGGCAGCGACCUUCCCCGCGCCCAACGCCCCUGCCCGGAGGGCGCCGCACAUCGCCAUCUUUAAUUUUUACUGCCCUGCUUUCGAUCCUGGGAGCCUGCACGGGUUUGUACAUUCAUUUCCACCGCACUAACAUCCUAGCCACUCAACUACUAUAUCAAAUGGUUCAGAAUGUCCCCGACUAUAUACAGCUCGUGACAAUCAGGCCAACCAACUACACCUAUGCUUGUUCCGAUUUGACCUCACAAUUCACCAAGCUUCUCACGCUAGCAGCACCUAUGCUUUUUUUCAGAAUGUCCUGCCUAAUUUGGUUCUACCACCUGUUUGUUAGUUGCAGUUUACCACUGGAAACUUCUUGCUCAGUUUUCCUCUACUUGACUUGAUCAUUACAUGCUCUCUCUCAAGUUGAUUGCCUAAUGUUUUGCUUUUAUCUAUAAUACAUCAAAAUCAUCUACUGGUAGCAUAAUAUUGUUUAUUCGCUCAAACACUAGUAAUGUAAUGGGUUGGUCUUUAUUUAGCAUCCUCAUCAUUUCGACUCCAUCUGCUUGAGUAUAUGGCUCUGUUUAGUAUGCUACUAUCUAGACGUCGUCUAUUUGGACUUCCUUAUGAAUAUUAUUGUUUCCUUUUGCUGGCCAUGUUCUGCUCUUGUCUGAGGGUAACGAUGGGGGGCUAAGCGGCAGCGGUGACCUCCUCCUUCAGCUCCAUGUGCUUAGUUUUACAAGGCUGGGAGGACAGAAGGCUUCUGUCUGAUGCAGGACCGGAGGGUGGAAGAACAACAAGGGGAAGCUCAACUCCUCUUUUUUUUUUGUGAAACCAGAUUUUGAAUGGUCAGAAUCGAUCGGGGUAGUAGGCCGAUCAUGAAGUGGCAUAAGAUGGACCUCCUCAAGCACGUACUUGAUGCAGCUAGCUAGCUCACGAGAAGAAAAAUAAGAUUAAUAAGGACUUCAAUCAAAUCAUGGCCUGUUCAUGUACACUGUACAUGUUUAGUUUUACAAGGCUGGGAGCAUAGAAGGCUUCUGUCUGAUGCAUGACCGGAGGGUCGAAUGAACGCUGUACUCCUCUUUUUUGUGAAACCAGAUUUUGAAUGGUAGGGUUGUAAUUCUUGUGGCCUUUUAUUUCUGACGCCAAAUCAUGUAAUGCUUCAGACUAACGUUUGUUUGGUUCU